GGAAGUGUGCCUGAAAGNGGACCUCCUGGAGGAGGGUCAAACCCCCUCACUUCCU
This 55-nucleotide transfer RNA is filed under the name Osteocephalus sangay. Its description in RNAcentral is "partial tRNA-Ile". Lineage: Eukaryota; Metazoa; Chordata; Amphibia; Anura; Hylidae. The record is from RNAcentral.